This 105-nucleotide ribosomal RNA is filed under the name uncultured bacterium. Its description in RNAcentral is "partial 16S ribosomal RNA". It matches the Rfam family "Bacterial small subunit ribosomal RNA", at positions 1380 to 1482 of the family's 1533-position model. The record is from RNAcentral.
CUUGUACACACCGCCCGUCAAAUCACGAAAGUCGGUAAUGCCUGAAACCAGUUUAUUAACCCGCAAGGGAGAUGGCUGACAAGGGUAGGAUUGGCAAUUGGGAUU